GGGGGUGUUCUUGGAUUCGACGGGGAUAGUUCGAGCGCGGGUUGCGGGUAGUGGGGACGCGUCCGCUUCAACAACGCUAAAGCCUAUUAAAUGGCAACCAACGUACAACUUUAGCAGCAGCUUAAUAACCUGAUCUGCUAAGCUUCUACCUCGCAUCGCCCAUGUGCUAGGAUAGGGGCCCAACCUUAGUGGGAUACGCCGCUCGGUCUCCGCCUGGGGUCGACGGAAGAAGAUAAUCAGGCUGACCUUGGACAUAGCCGGUUACGGGGCGCUGGCCUUGGUGACAUCAAAACUGUGACUACACCCGUAGAUGCCUGUGUGGCGAUAUUUUCGGACAGGGGUUCGACUCCCCUCACCUCCAUAC
This 364-nucleotide transfer-messenger RNA is filed under the name Bacillus sp. 3255. It matches the Rfam family "transfer-messenger RNA". Rfam says of the family: Bacterial tmRNA, also known as 10Sa RNA or SsrA, is named for its dual tRNA and mRNA-like properties. Its role is to liberate the mRNA from a stalled ribosome. To accomplish this part of the tmRNA is used as a reading frame that ends in a translation stop signal. Lineage: Bacteria; Bacillati; Bacillota; Bacilli; Caryophanales; Bacillaceae. The record is from RNAcentral.